AUUCUCCUACGGGGGGCAGCAGUGGGGAAUAUUGCACAAUGGGGGAAACCCUGAUGCAGCGACGCCGCGUGAGUGAAGAAGUAUUUCGGUACGUAAAGCUCUACCAGCAGGGAAGAAAAUGACGGUACCUGACUAAGAAGCCCCGGCUAACCACGUGCCAGCAGCCGCGGUAAUACGUAGGGGGCAAGCGUUAUCCGGAUUUACUGGGUGUAAAGGGAGCGUAGACGGCAGCGCAAGUCUGGAGUGAAAUGCCGGGGCCCAACCCCGGAACUGCUUUGGAAACUGUGCAGCUCGAGUGCAGGAGG
RNAcentral lists this ribosomal RNA (305 nucleotides) under uncultured bacterium. RNAcentral describes it as "bacterial SSU rRNA". It matches the Rfam family "Bacterial small subunit ribosomal RNA", at positions 333 to 655 of the family's 1533-position model. The record is from RNAcentral.